CCUACGGGAGGCAGCAGUGAGGAAUAUUGGUCAAUGGGCGCGAGCCUGAACCAGCCAAGUAGCGUGAAGGAUGACUGCCCUACGGGUUGUAAACUUCUUUUAUAAAGGAAUAAAGUGAGGCACGUGUGCCUGUUUGUAUGUACGUUAUGAAUAAGGAUCGGCUAACUCCGUGCCAGCAGCCGCGGUAAUACGGAGGAUCCGAGCGUUAUCCGGAUUUAUUGGGUUUAAAGGGAGCGUAGAGGGGUUGUUAAGUCAGUUGUGAAAGUUUGCGGCUCAACCGUAAAAUUGCAAUUGAUACUGGCAGUCUUGAGUACCGUUGCGGUAGGCGGUAUUCGUGGUGUAGCGGUGAACUGCUUAGAUAUCACGCAGAACUCCGAUUGCGAAGGCCGCUUACUAAACUGCCACUGACAUUGAUGCUCGAAAGUGUGGGUAUCACACAGGCUUAGAUACCCAGGUAGUC
This 460-nucleotide ribosomal RNA is filed under the name uncultured bacterium. RNAcentral describes it as "partial 16S ribosomal RNA". It matches the Rfam family "Bacterial small subunit ribosomal RNA", at positions 338 to 795 of the family's 1533-position model. The record is from RNAcentral.